This is a long non-coding RNA of Acanthopagrus latus (yellowfin seabream), 403 nucleotides long. RefSeq lists it as uncharacterized. The transcript is spliced from 3 exons. NCBI's taxonomy places the organism in Eukaryota, Metazoa, Chordata, Actinopteri, Spariformes, Sparidae. The record is from RefSeq and is a predicted model, not a curated record.
UCUGAUGAGGGGGAGUCUCGGGCUCACUGAGAGCAGUUCUCCCUGAGCGGCGCAGCUUGAAUUCACAGCAGAGCUCGGCAUGAGCAGACGCCCACAUACAGGACAGAACAGCACAGCACAGUAUAUCAGCAGGUCACUCACUGUGGGCUGUGCCGACCGGGGGCCUGAUGGCUGGAUCUCGAUGCAGGUUUAAGUGUUUACAUAAAGAGCCGCAGUGGAAGAAGAAUGAGCCUGUCGAAGCCUCAUAUGUAGGUGGGCAUCUCCUCCGCUGGAGUCGUGUUAAGGAAGGAUUCCCUCGCAGCCUCUGUGAACAGAAGAACAGAUCAGGAUGACCAGUAAUGGCCGUCAUUUUCCGAGAGUCACUUGCCUCUUAUGGAUAAAACAAUGCCAGCUUGAAUAUAAC